CAGGACUCGAACUGACCUCAUGUCCCAUUGUUAAUCAGUGGUGCUGGUUUCAGUCAUUAUGUAAAUGUGUUGUUUAUUAUGUCGGGAAACCUUCAUCAGCUGAGACUGAAAAAUUCACUUGGAUGAGUGAAAAAAUGUUUCUCCCACUGAAAACACUACGUGCAGAUGAACAGAAUCAUUGUUUUGAGAUUUUACCAGAAAGGCUUUAGGACCCAGGGGAUUGAAGGGAGGGUGUAAAGUAGUGGGCGAUCACUCUUUCUCCCCGGUUCUAUCACAGAGGCGUCCCUAUCGUUACAACGCCUUUACAGUUACUAAGAAGGAAACGCGGUCCGUUACUAUUUUUCAACAAACAGACGGUUGCAGCUGUGUUCAGUUUACCGCAUUUUAUAUCAGUUGCACGGAAGUAGCUGUAAGUAAUCUGGACGCUACAGCUUUAAGCAGCUGCGCGCUCCCGCGGACGGUAAUCACGAUCACUGUCUAGCACAACACCUGGAGCUCAGGGGGCAAAACAAUCGCAUGAGUGCUGCUGUUUGACUGAGGAAGAAUAAAGUAGUUGUGGUCAGAAUAUCAUUAAGUGUCACACUUUGACAAGUUCAUCAGCUGGUAACAAACCUGUUCACAGCUCAGAUCCAGACUCAGAUUUGGUGCCUUUCAGUGUCUGAAGAUGUGUUCGAGUCUCUCCACCAGCCGCCUGAUUCUUCUGAUCUCCCUGAGUGUGAUGAUGCUCAUCUCUGUAUCAGGGGCUGAACACGUGGGGAUACUCUGCUAUGAAAAUCAUUCUAACCAAAAUGCAAGAACCACAAAGGGUACACCUGUAUGGGCCAAAAACAUCAUCAGCUGCUUUGAACAAAACAGACAUGGCUGCCUUCAUGGCUAUGAGGUCAAAACACAAGCGCCAAAAACACGUGCAGAAAGAACAUUUUUCCUCAAACCAAACACCGAGUGGAUAAAAAGGAAAAUAAAUGAGGGAACUCUGCUGUGUCCUCCACAGAUUUCUAAAUGAUGAUAAUGGAAACGAUGAAACAAAAGCUGUAGGACACAAGACCCUAGUGUUUUUUGCCCAUUAUUCAUUAUUAAUUCUUUUCUUCUUCUUUUCUUUUUUCUUCUUCUUUCACCACCACAGGGAACUCUGCUGUGUCCUCCAGUGUUUUCAAAUAAACAUGUAUAAGCUAUUAAUCUUUAAUGAGUCCUCCCACUGUAGUUUGUAUAUUCCAACUGCACUACACUGUUUAGAAGCAGUGACUGUCUGUCAUCUUGUCUCGUAGGUUUCUUAAUUCACACAGUGAUUUUCAUAGAUUUAAUCUAAGUAUAGAUGAUGAAAAUGAUGAAACAUAGUUAAAGUAAAGCAGCUGCUGGAAACAUUUCUGCUCAUUUAUUAGUUCACACUUUGACAGAAAUAUUUGUUAAGAAAUGUAAAUUAUUUUUUGCAAAUUAUUCAUAGCACCUUAACAGUCUUAUGUUCACACACACACACACACAUAUAUAUAUAUUUAUAUAUGUACAAUACAAAGCAAUUUUACUAUAUAACAUGUUUAAAGCCAGGGGGUACACCAAAUUGCUUCACAGUAAGGAAUGAACAGUAAAAUGAUAACACUGAACAGUAAGUCAUUAAAAAAUGUAAAAUAGAGAAACAAACAAAGGCAUUAGUAAGUAGGGAUUGGCAGAAUUCAUGAUAAUCCAGAGAAAUGAGUAAAGAUACGCCAGUUAGUGAUUGGUGAGAAUUAGCAAAUAUACUACAAAUAUCAUUAAAUAUGAAUGUUAUUCUGUCUUCAAGCUGAGAACAAAGAUAAAUCAAUAAAAGCUUCUGAAAUCAGAUCUUUUUUAAUGGUCUGUGUGAUUAAUUACCAUUUGCUGUAGGUGUUAUAACUGACAACAAAAUACUUAUUGUUGUGAUUAUUUCAUGAUGACGUCAUGAUCACAGGACACCAGGAGGCAGCAUUUAACCGAUAUGGCAG
This is a long non-coding RNA of Oreochromis aureus, 1955 nucleotides long. Lineage: Eukaryota; Metazoa; Chordata; Actinopteri; Cichliformes; Cichlidae. The record is from Ensembl.